This is a transfer RNA of Operophtera brumata (winter moth), 73 nucleotides long. It matches the Rfam family "tRNA". From Rfam's summary of the family: Transfer RNA (tRNA) molecules are approximately 80 nucleotides in length. The record is from Rfam. NCBI's taxonomy places the organism in Eukaryota, Metazoa, Arthropoda, Insecta, Lepidoptera, Geometridae.
UGUUCUAUGGCCGAACUGGUAAACGCAUUGCCGAUCACAGGCAUGGUUGCGGGUUCGAGUCCCGCUGGAACGG